Long non-coding RNA from Passer domesticus (house sparrow), 2162 nucleotides. RefSeq lists it as uncharacterized. The transcript has 4 exons. Lineage: Eukaryota; Metazoa; Chordata; Aves; Passeriformes; Passeridae. The record is from RefSeq and is a predicted model, not a curated record.
GAGGGGAGAUGGAGUUUGUUGGCUGUGUUGAGAAGAAGAAAGUCAGUGCUCUUCCCAGGGAGCUGGACUGGUCAUCAUCCUUGGCUGCCUAUUGGGCAGAACCUGCAGUGAAGUUCUUCCAGGGAAAGCUUCAAGAUGCCAGAGCAGCAGGCCUGAAGCACAGCAGCUGCUGUUACAGGAAAAUAUUGGUGAUCAUAUGUUUCGGCUCCCAUCCAGCCUAUAGCUCCCAUUUUAAGCAGCCAAGGCAAGAAAAUCUAGCUAGAUGUCAGCUUUGAAAGUGAUCGAUAUACUCAGCCAAAGGUGGUUGUUUCUCUGCGCGAUGGAAGCGCAGUAGCACCACUAGAUGGUAGCCUUGCUUACUUCAUAGGCACCACUUUCCCACUGCAGUCCGCCGCAGCAAGAGAGAGUAAGAGCUUCUCGAGACGGGAUCAUUGCGUGCUGUAACUAUCCCUCUACACGGACUAACCCGUAAGGAAAAAGCUACUACUAAAAGCAGAAAGCAGGGGAGAAAGGAUGAACUCCUCCUCGGAGCACACUGCGGGCACAGGCAGUCCUGGUGCAAGGCUGCAAACCCGUGCAGCAGUGGGGAAGGGCAGCUGCACAGGUUUACCUGCCCAUGGACGUUCCUAUGGACUGUCACUCCUUGCUGCAAAGUUGGAGACAUUUUGACCAAACGCUAUUCCACAAGAUGUUUGAGUCUUAAGUAAAAGAGUAAGUGCCCAAGAGUUGGAUUUUGAGUAUCCUUGUGAGUCCCUUCCAAAUAAUGAUAUUCUAUGAUUCUGUGAAAUAUUUGAUGAGACUUGCCAAGCCUAGGCAAGCACUGCAUCCACACAGAAAUGUUUCCAAGGAGUGUAUUGGGCAGCAGUCCAUUUAGGAUGUAUAUGAAAUUCCUUAUUUUGCUUCCCUCAACACCUUAUUUUUAUGGUACUGCUUACCACACUGCAAUCCAAAGUGCAUUCUAUGGAAUAGGUAACUAAAUAUUGAUCAUAACUCUAACCACAUAAUGAAAACCACAAUGCAGUGUUAUUACAUUUAUUUUUAUUAAAGGAACAUGAAUUUCUGAGUAUCUUGCCUGAGCAUUUCUGUCAGGGAAAUUUAUUAAUAGGGUAUUCACUAAUAACCUUGGUAAUUUGCUAGUUGUCUUGCAUCUCCAGAGUAGAUAUAGUGCAUAUUCCCGGGAGAGUUCUUCUCCAGUAUGCUGUCAAAGCAUAAAAGCUUUCCCUCCUGCUGGAUGAUGUGCUUUGCUGAAGAGGGAAGCAACCUGAUUUGCAAAUGCUGGAAUUGGAUGAAUCACCUUUGGAUGUCUCAGGAGGUCAUAGGUCCUUCUGAAACUGAUCAGGAUAACAUGAUUUUUUUUUACAGAGUAUUAUAACUAUUUAGAAACUUUUCUGGGCCAUCAUCAUAGUCUUGAAUCUAAAAAUAUCAAUUAAAAUGUGAGUUUUAGCUUAUAAAAGUAUUAGAAGAUUAAAUAAUGUCAAUUUUUAAGACAAAUGGAAAAAGUGGAUACCACUGCAAAAAAGAAAAAUACAUUUAAGAGUAAGUUAUUAAAUAUUAAAGUAUAAUUUCUAGGUGUUUUGCUCUGAAUUACUUUGCCUAACUGUUGUAUGUCUUUGCCUAAUUGUUGUUUCUUCUUGUUCAUCAGUGUAGCACUUAUAAUUACAAUUUUUUUUUCUCUUCUUUAGGCUGGUGGAUGUCAAUAUGAUCUUCUAAAAACAUAAACAUUUUUAAUUAAAUACUUAAUAUUGCUAUUAAUUUUAAUGAUCCUUUAAAUUGUUCUCAGUUCGUGAGUUGUCUUUUAUUACCAGAAGCAUAACUGUAAAGGCAGGGAACAAAACACAGAAGAAGGUUAUGGAAAGCAUAGGAAAAAUCAUCUCUUGCAGAUAAAUAGAUUUGGUGUUAUGAAAGGUGUAAUAAAUUUUAAAGCAGACUCGGGUACUUCAAUAGGACUACUAAAUGUGUUUACAUUUACAAGAACAUGUCAGAAAAUGUAUGAGAUGCCAAUUUCAUUAUUGUAAUAGACUUCUUGACCUCCUUAUAUAUCUUAGGUCACUCCAAUAUGACCCUAUUUUACUGCUGAUUGUUUUGCAUCUGUUGUUCUAGGAACCUCCUAAAAUUGUUAGGAGGUGUAGAAAUAAAAUGUCUCUUAUCUGCUUUCCACUGAA